Molecule: transfer RNA, 75 nt
Filed under: Pedobacter sp.
Lineage: Bacteria; Pseudomonadati; Bacteroidota; Sphingobacteriia; Sphingobacteriales; Sphingobacteriaceae
Also listed under: 2 other names
Description: tRNA-Asp
Rfam family: tRNA
About the family: Transfer RNA (tRNA) molecules are approximately 80 nucleotides in length. Their secondary structure includes four short double-helical elements and three loops (D, anti-codon, and T loops).
Source: RNAcentral
GGUUCGGUAGUUCAGCUGGUUAGAAUGCCGCCCUGUCACGGCGGAGGUCGCGGGUUCGAGUCCCGUCCGGACCGC